Molecule: ribosomal RNA, 468 nt
Filed under: uncultured bacterium
Lineage: Bacteria
Description: partial 16S ribosomal RNA
Rfam family: Bacterial small subunit ribosomal RNA
Source: RNAcentral
GACGAACGCUGGCGGCGUGCUUAGCACAUGCAAGUCGAACGGAAAGGCCCUGCUUUUGUGGGGUGCUCGAGUGGCGAACGGGUGAGUAACACGUGAGUAACCUGCCCUUGACUUUGGGAUAACUUCAGGAAACUGGGGCUAAUACCGGAUAGGAGCUCCUGCUGCAUGGUGGGGGUUGGAAAGUUUCGGCGGUUGGGGAUGGACUCGCGGCUUAUCAGCUUGUUGGUGGGGUAGUGGCUUACCAAGGCUUUGACGGGUAGCCGGCCUGAGAGGGUGACCGGCCACAUUGGGACUGAGAUACGGCCCAGACUCCUACGGGAGGCAGCAAUGGGGAAUAUUGCACAAUGGGCGGAAGCCUGAUGCAGCAACGCCGCGUGCGGGAUGACGGCCUUCGGGUUGUAAACCGCUUUCGCCUGUGACGAAGCGUGAGUGACGGUAAUGGGUAAAGAAGCACCGGCUAACUACGUG